Molecule: long non-coding RNA, 211 nt
Filed under: Octodon degus (degu)
Lineage: Eukaryota; Metazoa; Chordata; Mammalia; Rodentia; Octodontidae
Description: Six3os1 conserved region 7 (ENSODEG00000025321.1)
Rfam family: Six3os1 conserved region 7
Source: RNAcentral
UGUGGACCGCUGCGGUGCCUCCAGAUCUGCAUCGGAAUGCAGAAAAGAUCUUUUUUUUUUUUUUUUUUGAAAAAAAGUUUUGAAUUCCUCAAUGAUUUUUUUUCUUCUGGAAAGGCAGCUUAGGAUAAUUAUUUCAGCUUUAUUGAGGGCAGAUUAGUUGAAGUCUGAGCGCUGCGUUUCAAUACGCGUUGUACACGGGCCGACAAUGUGG